UACGUAGGGGGCAAGCGUUGUCCGGAUUUAUUGGGCGUAAAGCGCGCGCAGGCGGUUUAUUAAGUCUGAUGUGAAAGCCCACGGCUCAACCGUGGAGGGCCAUUGGAAACUGGUAGGCUUGAGUGCAGGAGAGGAGAGCGGAAUUCCCGGUGUAGCGGUGAAAUGCGUAGAUAUCAGGAGGAACACCCGUGGCGAAAGCGGCUCUCUGGGACGGUACUGACGCUGAGACGCGAAAGCGUGGGGAGCAAACAGG
This 253-nucleotide ribosomal RNA is filed under the name uncultured bacterium. Its description in RNAcentral is "partial 16S ribosomal RNA". It matches the Rfam family "Bacterial small subunit ribosomal RNA", at positions 524 to 776 of the family's 1533-position model. The record is from RNAcentral.